This 243-nucleotide ribosomal RNA is filed under the name uncultured bacterium. RNAcentral describes it as "partial 16S ribosomal RNA". It matches the Rfam family "Bacterial small subunit ribosomal RNA", at positions 30 to 263 of the family's 1533-position model. The record is from RNAcentral.
AUUGAACGCUAGCGGGAUGCUUUACACAUGCAAGUCGAACGGCAGCACGAGAGAGCUUGCUCUCUUGGUGGCGAGUGGCGGACGGGUGAGUAAUAUAUCGGAACGUGCCCAGUAGCGGGGGGAUAACUACUCGAAAGAGUGGCUAAUACCGCAUACGCCCUACGGGGGAAAGGGGGGGAGUUCUUCGGAACCUCUCACUAUUGGAUCGGCCGAUAUCGGAUUAGCUAGUUGGUGGGGUAAAGG